Molecule: non-coding RNA, 294 nt
Organism: Dipodomys ordii (Ord's kangaroo rat)
Lineage: Eukaryota; Metazoa; Chordata; Mammalia; Rodentia; Heteromyidae
Source: Rfam
GGCUGUGAGUGCAAUCAGGCUGUGACACCUGUCACCCCAUUGAUGAUCAGGAUUGUUUUGGCAGUGUUCUGACUGGAUGGGUGGGUGUUUAUUCCUUCCUCAUCACUCCAUGUGUGUCUCACUCCCCAAGCUGUGCAGUCAGUGGAAGAGAUCCUCCUCCAUAAAGGCAGCUCUUCCUUGGUUAAAGGUGUAUGAAUAGGUAUGCUCCAUUGCUAGAACCUUUCAAGUGAGCUCUCAAAAUAUAUCUCAUAGGCUAUCUCUAUGUAGCAAAAUCUAUUCUGCAAUUCUUUUGCA